This 254-nucleotide ribosomal RNA is filed under the name uncultured bacterium. Its description in RNAcentral is "partial 16S ribosomal RNA". It matches the Rfam family "Bacterial small subunit ribosomal RNA", at positions 524 to 776 of the family's 1533-position model. The record is from RNAcentral.
UACGUAGGGGGCGAGCGUUGUCCGAAGUUACUGGGCGUAAAGCGCGCGUAGGCGGUCAUUUAGGUCUGAGGUGAAAGGUUCAGCGCUCAACGUGAACAGUGCCUUGGAUACUGGGUGACUUGAGUUCGGGAGGGGGCAGUGGAAUUCCAGGUGUAGCGGUGAAAUGCGUAGAUAUCUGGAGGAACACCGAUGGCGAAGGCAGCUGCCUGGCCCAGAACUGACGCUGAGGUGCGAAAGCGUGGGGAGCGAACGGG